Long non-coding RNA from Nannospalax galili (Upper Galilee mountains blind mole rat), 790 nucleotides. RefSeq lists it as uncharacterized. The transcript has 3 exons. The record is from RefSeq and is a predicted model, not a curated record. Lineage: Eukaryota; Metazoa; Chordata; Mammalia; Rodentia; Spalacidae.
CGGCGCUAUCUCCUAUUUAUCUCUCUGCAUCGGGCUAGGACAGCGCUCGCGUCUGUUGAGGCUCAAGCGCAUCUCUCGCCGCGGGGCGGCAUCUGGGCACCCGGGCCCCGGGGUUCAGAGGCCGGUAACUUUGCUAAUCUUCCCCAGUGGCUGAGGGACGUCGCACAACCGCUGAGCCUUGUCCUCAGAGACUAAACAAGGCGAAGAACAGGCUGUAAACACAUAUCCUGACACACAAGCUACCCGGCGCAUAAUGAGGUAGCAGCCUCCAGCCGGCCACCGUGACGAACGCAGAACAAAAGCGCUCCCUCCACGCCUCCUCCAACAAAGGGGCCACCAGCCCCAGCGCUCCCCGAAGGCUGCGGGGCUCCCGGCUGCCGGCUGCGGAGCUGCAGCGCGCAAACUUCCCGGGGCUCCCGGGGCUACCGGCGCCACCGAGCCGGGGCCGCAGAGGGAGGAAGCGCACGCCGCCGGGAGAAAGCAGGGAAUUGCUCUUGGAGAAUGUGAAGACAGUUUGCUUCUUGACAAGCGAGCGAGCGGGCGCCCAGAUUUCUGCAGCCUUUCGAAGUCUCCCCGAGGGAAAAGCAGUUAAAGCCACCAGGGAAGGGUUCUGCGCAAGACAGCCGCCCCCUUUGGCCCCAGACUCUCCAGCCUGGGGCUCCCCCUUUAGGUACAGUCAACUGAUGACCUCAAACUCCGAGGAUGGAGCUGAAGUUUGGGGUUGGGAAAACCUCUUGAAUAACAACUGUGGAGGAGAAAGAGGAGACACCAGCAUUUCUUCCCCGCCUGG